This 465-nucleotide ribosomal RNA is filed under the name uncultured bacterium. Its description in RNAcentral is "partial 16S ribosomal RNA". It matches the Rfam family "Bacterial small subunit ribosomal RNA", at positions 338 to 795 of the family's 1533-position model. The record is from RNAcentral.
CCUACGGGAGACAGCAGUGGGGAAUAUUGCGCAAUGGGCGAAAGCCUGACGCAGCGACGCCGCGUGCGGGAUGAAGGUCUUCCGAUCGUAAACCUCUGUCAGCAGGGAAGAAAGGUCCCUUUGCUAAUCAGCAUUGAAUUGACGGUACCUGCAAAGGAAGCACCGGCUAACUCCGUGCCAGCAGCCGCGGGAAUACGGAGGGUGCGGGCGUUAAUCGGAAUUACUGGGCGUAAAGCUAUCGUAGGCGGUCUGUCAAGUCAGGUGUGAAAGCCCCGCGCUCAACGUGGGAACUGCCUUUGAAACUGGCGAACUGGAGUGUGUGCGAGGAUGGCGGAAUUCCUGGUGUAGCGGUGAAAUGCGUAGAUAUCAGGCAGAACCUCAGUUGUGAAGGCAGCUAACUGGAGCAUAACUGACGCUGAGGCGCGAAAGCGUGGGUAGCAAACAGGAUUAGAUACCCGAGUAGUC